Glycine soja is the source of this 330-nucleotide long non-coding RNA. RefSeq lists it as uncharacterized. The record is from RefSeq and is a predicted model, not a curated record. Lineage: Eukaryota; Viridiplantae; Streptophyta; Magnoliopsida; Fabales; Fabaceae. The transcript is spliced from 3 exons.
CAAAAUUUUACAUCACACAUGCAGAUCUAGCGGAAAUAAUAUCAGGUGACAAGUGUUUAAACAUAGCGAUACUACAAUUGUGGACCAUAUUUAUGAAUGAGUGCGGUAGAAGCAAAGCUGAUCAGUCACUAUAUGGUUUGCUAGAGCCUCAAUCUAUACAAAAUGCUAAGGAAAGACGUCAACAAUGCCAACAAUACAUUGAAACAUGGGUCAAGGAAUCACAAAGGCAGUUGUAUUUAGGAGCUUACUUGCAUCAGGCACAUUGGCAACUAUUUGUUCUCCACCCAAGGGAAAACACGGUCGUUUGGUUUUGUUCUCUGAGGAAGAAGC